RNAcentral lists this ribosomal RNA (483 nucleotides) under uncultured bacterium. RNAcentral's name for it is "partial 16S ribosomal RNA". It matches the Rfam family "Bacterial small subunit ribosomal RNA", at positions 36 to 507 of the family's 1533-position model. The record is from RNAcentral.
UCUUCCCUCUGGCGGCGUGCCUAACACAUGCAAGUCGAACGAAGCUUGACGGAUGAUUUCUUCGGAAUGAAACCAGAUAUGACUUAGUGGCGGACGGGUGAGUAACACGUGAGCAACCUGCCUUUCAGAGGGGGAUAACGUCUGGAAACGGUCGCUAAUACCGCAUGAUGUGUUCGGAUGGCAUCAUCUGAACAUCAAAGAUUUAUCGCUGAAAGAUGGGCUCGCGUCUGAUUAGAUAGUUGGUGGGGUAACGGCCUACCAAGUCUACGAUCAGUAGCCGGAAUGAGAGGUUGAACGGCCACAUUGGGACUGAGAUACGGCCCAGACUCCUACGGGAGGCAGCAGGGGGGAAUAUUGCACAAUGGGGGAAACCCUGAUGCAGCAACGCCGCGUGAAGGAUGACGGUUUUCGGAUUGUAAACUUCUUUUCUUAGUGACGAAGACAGUGACGGUAGCUAAGGAAUAAGCAUCGGCUAACUACGUG